AUGUUUGGGGAAGCAUCAGGUCUGCGGAUCAACUGUACAAAAUCUUGGGCCAUUGUGACCAGAGGGGAUCACCGUGACCAUGAUGAGGAGAGAAUCGCUCCUAUCCUACAGCGUUCCAUUGGCGCUUUUCCCUGCAAGUAUUUGGGGCUUCAGUUAUCUAUUUUAUCUCUCACUAAAGCCGAAUGGCAGCCUACCCUGGAUUCCAUUAGGGCCUGCGCCCCAGCAUGGCAACGAGGCCUCAUAAACAGAGCCGGCAGACUGGUCCUUGUGGAUUCAGUCCCAUCUGCUCGACCCGCUCAUCAUCUGCUGAUUUCUGAAGCUCCGAAGUGGACAAUUCUUCAACUUGAAAAGUGGCUGCGUGCUUUCUUUUGGGCAGGGACGGAGAUAGUGCAAGGAGACAAAUGCUUGGUUUCUUUUGGAUGA
RNAcentral lists this ribosomal RNA (423 nucleotides) under Triticum aestivum (bread wheat). RNAcentral describes it as "partial small subunit ribosomal RNA". The record is from RNAcentral. Lineage: Eukaryota; Viridiplantae; Streptophyta; Magnoliopsida; Poales; Poaceae.